This 253-nucleotide ribosomal RNA is filed under the name uncultured bacterium. RNAcentral's name for it is "partial 16S ribosomal RNA". It matches the Rfam family "Bacterial small subunit ribosomal RNA", at positions 524 to 776 of the family's 1533-position model. The record is from RNAcentral.
UACGAAGGGGGCUAGCGUUGCUCGGAAUCACUGGGCGUAAAGCGCACGUAGGCGGUUCUUUAAGUCAGAGGUGAAAUCCCGGAGCUCAACUCCGGAACUGCCUUUGAUACUGAGGACCUUGAGUCCGGGAGAGGUGAGUGGAACUGCGAGUGUAGAGGUGAAAUUCGUAGAUAUUCGCAAGAACACCAGUGGCGAAGGCGGCUCACUGGCCCGGUACUGACGCUGAGGUGCGAAAGCGUGGGGAGCAAACAGG